Molecule: ribosomal RNA, 466 nt
Filed under: uncultured bacterium
Lineage: Bacteria
Description: partial 16S ribosomal RNA
Rfam family: Bacterial small subunit ribosomal RNA
Source: RNAcentral
GAUGAACGCUGGCGGCGUGCUUAACACAUGCAAGUCGAACGAUGAAGCCCAGCUUGCUGGGUGGAUUAGUGGCGAACGGGUGAGUAACACGUGAGUAACCUGCCCUUAACUCUGGGAUAAGCCUGGGAAACUAGGUCUAAUACCGGAUAGGAGCGUCCACCGCAUGGUGGGUGUUGGAAAGAUUUAUCGGUUUUGGAUGGACUCGCGGCCUAUCAGCUUGUUGGUGAGGUAAUGGCUCACCAAGGCGACGACGGGUAGCCGGCCUGAGAGGGUGACCGGCCACACUGGGACUGAGACACGGCCCAGACUCCUACGGGAGGCAGCAGUGGGGAAUAUUGCACAAUGGGCGAAAGCCUGAUGCAGCGACGCCGCGUGAGGGAUGACGGCCUUCGGGUUGUAAACCUCUUUCAGUAGGGAAGAAGCGAAAGUGACGGUACCUGCAGAAGAAGCACCGGCUAACUACGUG